CGGAGAGCAACUCAGUCCUGCUUCAGAACAGAUUAAUAUGUCCACACAAUCCCACAUCUUGGCUGGAAUAUUAGUGAUGGGGAGACAGGGGACAUGGGAGUUUUCUUGUCGUCCGUGUGGUCGCCUGAACUUCAGCCCAUGGAGCAGAAUCACAACGAGGGUUUUAUAGGAAGUCCUGGCUGCAGUGCAUUAAAGGAAUGACCAGGAGCCCAAACUGGAGCAGACAACAGGAGCAUGUGACUAAUAAACAACAUGCCAGUAC
Long non-coding RNA from Corapipo altera (White-ruffed manakin), 262 nucleotides. RefSeq lists it as uncharacterized. The transcript is spliced from 3 exons. The record is from RefSeq and is a predicted model, not a curated record. NCBI's taxonomy places the organism in Eukaryota, Metazoa, Chordata, Aves, Passeriformes, Pipridae.